CUCUAUUCUCCGGCCUUGGAGCAGCAGCUCGUGAUUUCAGCUCAAGGGCUCUAUGGAAGGGAGCAUUCGUCGAUGCUUUCCUGGCUAGAAUAAAGAAGAACAGAGAAAACAUGAAUCGGAAGAAGAUUUGGUCUCGUAGAUCUUCUAUUUUGCCUGAAUUUGUUGGUUCCACUGUGCUCAUUUACAAUGGGAAAAGUCAUGUCCGGUGCGAGAUCACUGAAGGGAAGGGAAGGUUGGCCAUAAAUUUGGAGAGUUUGCUUUUACACGGAGACGAAGGCCCCAUCGAACAAUAACAGGAAAGGGAAAUCAAGGAAAGGGCAGAAAGUAAAAGUAGAAAUGUGCAUGAAAGGUGAGGUUGUACGUACACCCUGCUCCUCCGUUCCUUGUUCCUACCAAAACCCAAUGACACAUUCUUACUCUUAUGUGUUUUGCGUGCUAAAUCACUUCUACCAUUUUGGCAUUCGUGAUUCGAGCAAGCACCAAAAUCACAACAUUCUUGCACUAUGGUAACUGCAACUUUGGUUAGAAUUUCUGUGGGAGCAAAUUGUUUCGUUAAUGAUAUACAGUUGAAAUUCCUCGGGGUAUCAUGGCAUUAUGUUUGCUGGGUAUCGGUGGUUUUAGUUUUUUAUAUACAUGUAUAUUAGAGUGAUGUAUCAAGCACCUUAUAAAUGAAUUAUGUCUGCACUCGGCCAACUUUUUAUUUUGAUUGAGGUAAAUUCCAUGAAGCAUCUUGGGUCUGCUGCUUGUUCUUUAUAGUUCACACAUUGGAUGGUUCUGGAGCCAUAACAGACGAAAUUCAAUGGAUGGAUUUUUUUGGCUAAAGGUUAUUGCCGUCCUGGGUCCUGACGGUGCUGCUCCUUUUUAUAGUUCAAAUAGAUGUGAAUUUUAAAUGUUCAAUUAUAAUUUCCAAGCAGUGGAGAGGAGGAGCAUCACAGUGCACUUAUCACUCAGCGAGGCAUAGGAACAGUAGUCUGGUGAGUUUACAUUAUGCAUGUGAUUCUUUUUUAUAUUCAGUUAUAACAUCUGAGAAUAUUAUGCAUGUGAUUCUUUUUUCUUGUGAUGAUUGGCAUGAUUGAAAUGUUUUAUUAGUAUGCACAAUUCAAACAAGUUUUGUGUGUUUAUACAAUCACAAUGGACAGUUGAUCAAUUGCUUAUACAAUAAUCAAUUCUUUCGUGGCUUCAUCCACCUCAUCGUUGGUUCUUCGUUGUUUAAUAAUAAGGGUCUGGUUCAUAGAACCAGUCUGUGCUGCACUCUUGGCUCUUGCCUAUACGGGUUGUUUUGUUGUUGGGUUCGUGUAAAUAAAAAAAGAGGAGUGACACAAACGAUUAACUGUUGCCGAAUUUCAACUUGUUUAGUAGUUCCUAAUUUCCUAGCCUCAUGCCUAGCAUUUACGAAAGAUCAUUUGGAAAGAAUCAAUUGAAUUUCUCUAUGGGCCAAGCCUUAUAGAUGCAUUGCAACUGGCAAAAAGUUAGUGGUUUUGAUCUCAUGUAGAAACUCACACGCUAUUUUUGUUUGUGUUGACGCUUUCCUACUGAUUGCAAGGAAAACUAUAACUAAACUUGCAUCUAAAUUUUGGAGUCAGUUAACUAUCAUAGUUUUAGCUACAAAUUUGUAUAACUCAUCAUGAUGUACAAUUUCUGUUGAGAUCAACUCCUCUUCCCGUCGAAGGGAAAUAUAAUAAAAAAUAUGUUGGCAUAACAACUGCCUAUAGUGAUUAAUUUGUAAGAAAUGGACCAAUCACCAUUUCUGAUUUCUCCUAUCACAAAGCUCCCCUUCUUUGACACGUUUGCGACCAUUCAUAUUUUCCAUCGGCACAACCUAAAAGAGAAAGCCACAUGUGAAAAAUAUUACAACUAACACCAAGAUGCAAUUAUGUACUGAUUCAGAACAAUAAUAAAAAAUAGUGGGAGGAGAAACAUACAGGACACGAGCAAAGGUGGCAAUAAUAAGCAUGUCAUUGUGAUGUAAAGGUAAUUGUCUACUUUCAAGGCCAGAUCAAUACUAUGUAAACUAGAACAACAUAAUUAUCAUCCUAAUACUCAAUCCAACACAGCCACCAUACUAAUUAUCAGGCCUUCUGUUCUCACUAAAACUUGGAUUGAGUAAUAGCAAUUAAUCGUGGUGCACUCUAAUUUUAACAACGCGAGCAUGCCAGCAUGAAGCUCAUGAUCACAGUACUGACACAAGGGCAGCACCCUGAAUUUAAAUACCUGACACAUAUGCACCUAGGAUCCUUUCGAAAAAGAAGAUCAUGCCCAAUGCUCGAGGGCGCCACUGAAGACAUGGACCUCAUGGGCCGGCUCCUCGAUGAGCUCGACCUGCUGCAGCGCCACUCCCCGGAUGUGGACCUUGACAUGGUGGACAUGGACCUUCUUAAACAUAUUGUAGUUCACAAGUAAGGUGUAUUGAUACUAACCUUUUUAAAAUCAUUCCAUGCUGCAUUUUUGUCUUUCAAACAUUCAUUACCUGCCCGCCAGCCAGUUUGAACCAGUCAGGUAACAACAUUUGAAAUGAUGUACUAAUAAAUUUGGCAUUGGUUACAGGAACCGGUGAUGAUCUUCCAGCAUCAUGUGAGAACAGAGAGGCAUGAAAUGCAGCCGACGCAUCACUGGUAAUGGAAGAGAUACCAUUGGGCUUCCUUCUAAUGAAUGAGAAAAUUCAUCAGCAUUACUAAAUAUCACUGCAAGCUUGGUCUUACUGGUAUGUUCCCAUCAUAUAAUCAUGCAUGAUCUCAUUAUUUGCCUUGGUGUAUUAUAAAUUAACCAUGCUAAUAUUAUGGCAUCUACCCUUGUGAGAAAGGACGAACAUAUUACUAACCUGAAUUUUCUAAUUGGACCAAAAUUGUAUGAAGUGAAUUGGUUGGAUUUAGUCAAAGGUGGAUUGAACUGUGGGGUUUUAGUAGGGAGUUUGAAGUCCUAAUUGGUGCCAAGCUCCUAAACUGAGAAAGCAUAACAGGCACACAAGUAACUGUUGUUUCUGUGCUCCAAACAUAGAUGUUCUAAGCUCUCCAUGGUUAGGAUAAACCAAGAUGUAAGCUCAUAACAUGUGUUUGGGUUGGGACAGGAAUAGGAUCACUUCCUAAAUUUGAACGCCUAGAUGCAUCCCCUUGUAGUUAUUUGAACGUGGACAGUGGUAGUAUAGUGUACAGAAAAGAGAGCUCAAGCAGGGAACUCUUAUUUUGUAGUGAAAUCUCUUAAAGAGAACAAAAAGGUAAUUAAGUGAUCGUAGAGGGUUGGAAGCCAUGUGCACAACUUUUCUUACAACUGAAGUAUGAAGCUUAAUGGCUGUAAGAAUAUUGGACUAGCAUAUCCUUCACUCUUAGUGGAUGUAAGUCAAUUGCUGCUUGAGUAUUUAGUAUAAAUUUUAGUUCUGGUAAGCCUGCUUAUGACUAUAAUCACUUGCAAGACUCAAUCACUAACAAUAAUGUGACUGGCUUGCUGCAGGUUGGUGCUCUUUUUGUAUAAUCUAUUGUGUACAAUAUUGUUCGUGUCGUAUCAAAUGUUGAUGAGGGACACAACAACGUUCAAACAAAUUAAACCAAAGUGUUAGGGUUAGGAGGUGCUACAGGAACUGUUGGAGAAGAGAACUGCUCCACCUCAAAUGAUUGCGCCCAUGAAUGUGCACUCCCUUUUCUAUUGAAGAGAAUACUUGCAGCUAAAAAUAAGUUUUGUUAGUGCUGAAAAAUCUUUCACCCAUAAUUUACCCUGCUCUAUAUGUUUGUUCUAUAGUUUUGCUUGCUUGUGUCACUAUGAAAUUUAAAAUUCUAGAGGAACCGAAGCUGGGGAGAGCAUGGAAGUUUUUAUCAUCAAUGUCUGAAAUAGUCGACUUGAAGAAGCUCUUUGCUCCAUCAACCAUUGCAGUGUAUAUGGGCUCAUCGUGACACAAUACGGAGACCUGGAAGACCCCACCAGUCUCUGGUGAAAGCAAGCAGACGAUUAGCUACUCAAAGCGCCUAUACCAAUUAACCACUUCAGACCAAAUACUUUAGUGGAGGGAUGCCACCCAUAUGCAGAGGAUCUGUGGAAAUAAGUAAAGAUAAACAAGUUAACAUUUCAAGGUGUGAAGUUAUGUGGACGUUGCAAGGUGUACUUUGGGCAAAUGUAGUCUGCAAGCAAUCUCUGACAGUAAAUGGCGAAGAAAGUGUCAAGGUCAAACAUCCAAUUUAUGUGACAGUCGAUCCCUUCAUCUGUUGAAAUGUCAGCCUGGGUGACUGAAUCAAGACCUCGACUACGUAACAACCACUUGUUCCAUGUUGAGCGUGUAAAAGACCACAAAUUGGUUGGGACAUUGUUGGAAUCAACAUCUAUUGUCGUUUGGGUGCUUCAGUUAUUGAUGUGAAUUCAAUAAUAAACAAUUGUAAGAUCCAGAAUCUUGUUUUAAUCAUUUUAUGUCACAACAUAGGUUGGGUUUGAGAUGAUUGAUGCUAUUGUGGAAGCUAAGGCCAUAUCUGUUAGCAGUAAGUAAUUUAAGGCGAUUGUCAGAAAAAAUAAAUAAUUUUAUUGAUACAAGGGUGUAUCAUUGAGUUAUAAACUUCUACCUAGCUAAGCAUUUUAUGUUCCUCUCAUGGCGCCGUGGCCAAGGAGGCAGUUCUUGUUAAUGAGAUACCACAUGUCGGGGUUGUUGUGGCGCCGUGACCGCUUCCUGAACCUCCAUCCUAGGAGUAGACAUGUCUCUAGCAGUGUCGUCCGUUAGUUACAUCUAUAUUUUCUUGGUAUUAUUUCCAGUAGCUUAGUCUAUUUAGAUGAAAUGUGACAGCUGAAAACUUUUUUGUGGUUGAAACGAGCAUUGAACUUGCAUCUUUUGGAGGAAAAGGAAAUCCAAGCUGAUUGAUUUGUUGAUAUCCUCAUUGAUGUAACAUUUUUUGUCCUUAGCUUUAACAAAUCGUUGUCAUUUGAGCAAUACGACCAUAUUACAAAUAUUGACAGUCUGACAAUAAGAUCGACUUUUGAUAAUCUGGAACCAAGCUUUUGUUAGUAGGAAAUUGGAAGGCUCAUAUCUUCCUAUACUAAAUGAAUUUUAUUAUUUUUGUGGUACCACUACUAUUUCGAUCAUAUAGGUUCCACAUAGGUUAGGCUCAACCAAAAGUACUAUGAUUUUGGUUUACCUUUUGUCUAUAUUUGUUAAUCCUUUUUGGUGGAGACAUGUUUCCAUGUCGUGCAGCAGGCUAGACCAAGGGCGAGCUACUGCAGUGUGUCUCCCGCUGGACAAUGCAUGAUUAAAAUCAUUUAUAGAAGUUUACAUGAUACUGAUGGUUUCAAUAUAGUGAUGAAAUAUCUAAAUUAAAUUAACAAAAAAUAUUUUGGCUAUGAUCACAAAUACAUUACGAAACAUUUUCUUAUAACAGUAUAACGCACAUUUGUACAUAAGUUAUCAUAGUAUUAUAUAUUUCCGUUGCAACGCACGGGCACUUACCUAGUAUAUAUAUUAAGGCUACAAGGGUAGCCUGUCUCCCUUGUGUUCUGCCUUCCCAGAAUCUCAACCGUCUGUUCUCUCCCGUCUUCGUUUUGGUCGUCCGUCGGAUGCUGCCCACACCCGCGUGUGCGUCUCCCUGGUCCCUGCUCGUCGCCCACCACUCUCCCGUCCACGCGAGCAACCCCGCAACUGCCGCCGUUGUGCCUCCCAUCAACCCUCCACGCGAGCUGUCGCCUGCCCCUCAUCGCUCGCCCCCCUCCAACACGCGAGGAACCCCUACCGUCGCUGACCCCUCAUCUGCUUGCUCGGGGGCCAGGCGUCUAGUCCGGGGAUGUCGGCGGCGGCGGUUCACGGCUCCGUGUAGUGGCUGUUGCAGACCACGACGGCAUCAAACACCUCCUCCUCCUCCUACUCCUGCUCGGACUCGUCUCCGGCUGCGUUCCGGCGCCACCUCACCAUCCAGCCGCCACUGCUCCCCUCGUCGUUGUCCUUGCUGACGGCGAGCACCUCCGUGCGGAGGCGGAUGAUGCCGUCAAGGUGGAAUCAGCGCGCAAAGGCCUGGAUGGAGCGCAACACCUCCUGGUGACGAGGAAACCUGCGCGCGUCAGCGGAGUUCGAGACAGCGGCGAAGGGGAAACUCCCAUGCAUGGAAGAGGAAGAGUAGGAUUGACUAAAAGUGCCAAAAGGGACUGAGAACUGCUCCUCAUCAGUUGCAUGAUGGGUACCCAUCAGGUAGAAAUGAAUUUGUUAGGCAAAAUAAAUUUUCAAAGUCGUCAAAAGAUGAACUUAAUGGUUCUGAAGUGAAGCAUGAAGAUGCUCCAGAGUACGAGGAUGUUCCUCUGCAGAAAGAUCCACCAGAAGGUUCAGAAGAGUUCAGUAAACAGGUUGAUGAAGCCUUUCUUAAGUACACGCGAGAUAGGAUCGAUUACUUGAUGUUGUAAUCACAUCGGACAUAUGAGAUAAACAACUAAUUUGUCUCAUUUGAUGAGCUCUGAUUUUUUGUAGUUAUGAGGUGGCCAAGAAGAGGAUGUAUGCUUUUAGUACGACAACUUAUAUUGGUUUUCAGGCUGUAAUGACCGAGGAAAUGUCAGAAAAAUUUCGUGGUUUGCCUGGAGUAGUUUUCAUUUUGCCUGAUUCAUAUCUAUAUCCAGAAACAAAGGAGUACGGAGCCACAUGGAUGGCCACAAGGACUACAGACGUAGGGGAUCCAACGUUCUUCUUCUCCACUUCCCAGUUCCUACGCACGGACGAUUCUUCUUUCCUCCUUCAACCUUCUUCUGUGGACACACAUUGCAGCAAAGAGAAGGAAGAGAGAGGAGCACAUCCAUGGAAAAAGGAAAGGCUUCGUAGGGGCUUGCUGGCUUAUGGACACACUGGGAGCUGCGACUAGCGGACGACGUCGACAGGGGUGAGAUGGCCAUGGGCGCGAUCACGUGGACUGCCUAGAGGCGGGGCGUCGGCACUGCGGGCGUGCAGGAGGACAGGUGGAGCAGCGGUACUGCUUGAUUAGGGAGCAGGGGCACCGGGGCUAGCAGGGGUUGGGCAUGCUGGGAGCUGCGCGCGCAGGAUCAUGUCAGCUGCGUUGGUCGAGUGCAGCCGCGCCGCGCUGGCCAAGUCCGACCAACAUGCCAAGGCGGAGGCGGCAAGAGUUGGGUAGGGGAGAGGGAACGCCGGUGGGGCAGAGGAAAAAGGACGGAGGGAGAACUCACCUCGGCGAAAACCAACGUGACAAGGGCGAACGCAAGGUGACAGUGGAGUAGAUGAACAGUCGGGGAGCGGGCUUGCCGGAGCAGCGGAUUGGGGACGCGCGGCUCUGCGCUAAAGGGAGGGGCGAGCAGAUUCUUGGGAACCUCCUUGGGAGCAUGGUUGUUGAGAGCGGGGGUUGUUAAGAGCGGCAUAAAUCUCAGAGUCGAGGGUGGCCGAGACGCACGACGAUGGGGGCGGGGGUUG
Molecule: long non-coding RNA, 7363 nt
Organism: Zea mays
Lineage: Eukaryota; Viridiplantae; Streptophyta; Magnoliopsida; Poales; Poaceae
Exons: 8
Source: RefSeq, a predicted model, not a curated record